This 253-nucleotide ribosomal RNA is filed under the name uncultured bacterium. RNAcentral describes it as "partial 16S ribosomal RNA". It matches the Rfam family "Bacterial small subunit ribosomal RNA", at positions 524 to 776 of the family's 1533-position model. The record is from RNAcentral.
UACGUAGGGUGCAAGCGUUAAUCGGAAUUACUGGGCGUAAAGCGUGCGCAGGCGGUUUUGUAAGUCUGACGUGAAAUCCCCGGGCUUAACCUGGGAAUUGCGUUGGAGACUGCAAGGCUGGAGUCUGGCAGAGGGGGGUAGAAUUCCACGUGUAGCAGUGAAAUGCGUAGAGAUGUGGAGGAACACCGAUGGCGAAGGCAGCCCCCUGGGUUAACACUGACGCUCAGGCACGAAAGCGUGGGGAGCAAACAGG